GACGAACGCUGGCGGCGUGCUUAACACAUGCAAGUCGAGCGGAAAGGCCCUUCGGGGUACUCGAGCGGCGAAAGGGUGAGUAACACGUGAGUAACCUGCCCCAGACUUUGGGAUAACCCUCGGAAACGGGGGCUAAUACCGGAUACGACACAGCUUCGCAUGGGGUCUGUGUGGAAAGUUUUUCGGUUUGGGAUGGGCUCGCGGCCUAUCAGCUUGUUGGUGGGGUGAUGGCCUACCAAGGCGACGACGGGUAGCCGGCCUGAGAGGGCGACCGGCCACACUGGGACUGAGACACGGCCCAGACUCCUACGGGAGGCAGCAGUGGGGAAUAUUGCACAAUGGGCGGAAGCCUGAUGCAGCGACGCCGCGUGAGGGAUGACGGCCUUCGGGUUGUAAACCUCUUUCAGCAGGGACGAAGCGUAAGUGACGGUACCUGCAGAAGAAGCGCCGGCCAACUACGUG
This 462-nucleotide ribosomal RNA is filed under the name uncultured bacterium. RNAcentral describes it as "partial 16S ribosomal RNA". It matches the Rfam family "Bacterial small subunit ribosomal RNA", at positions 28 to 507 of the family's 1533-position model. The record is from RNAcentral.